AUACGUAGGGGGCGAGCGUUGUCCGGAAUGAUUGGCGUAAAGGGCGCGUAGGCGGCCCGGUAAGUCUGGAGUGAAAGUCCUGUUUUUAAGAUGGGAAUUGCUUUGGAUACUGUCGGGCUUGAGUGCAGGAGAGGUAAGUGGAAUUCCCAGUGUAGCGGUGAAAUGCGUAGAGAUUGGGAGGAACACCAGUGGCGAAGGCGACUUACUGGACUGUAACUGACGCUGAGGCGCGAAAGUGUGGGGAGCAAACAGGAUUAGAUACCCUGGUAGUCCACACUGUAAACGAUGAAUGCUAGGUGUAGGGGGUAUCGACCCCUUCUGUGCCGCAGUCAACACAAUAAGCAUUCCGCCUGGGGAGUACGGCCGCAAGGUUGAAACUCAAAUGAAUUGACGGGG
Molecule: ribosomal RNA, 396 nt
Filed under: uncultured bacterium
Lineage: Bacteria
Description: partial 16S ribosomal RNA
Rfam family: Bacterial small subunit ribosomal RNA
Source: RNAcentral